GACGAACGCUGGCGGCGUGCCUAAUACAUGCAAGUAGAACGCACAGUUUAUACCGUAGCUUGCUACACCAUAGACUGUGAGUUGCGAACGGGUGAGUAACGCGUAGGUAACCUGCCUGGUAGCGGGGGAUAACUAUUGGAAACGAUAGCUAAUACCGCAUAAUAUUAAUUAUUGCAUGAUAAUUAAUUGAAAGGUGCAAUUGCACCACUACCAGAUGGACCUGCGUUGUAUUAGCUAGCAGGUGAGGUAACGGCUCACCUAGGCGACGAUACAUAGCCGACCUGAGAGGGUGAUCGGCCACACUGGGACUGAGACACGGCCCAGACUCCUACGGGAGGCAGCAGUAGGGAAUCUUCGGCAAUAGACGAAAGUCUGACCGAGCAACGCCGCGUGAGUGAAGAAGGUUUUCGGAUCGUAAAGCUCUGUUGUAAGAGAAGAACGGGUGUGAGAGUGGAAAGUUCACACUGUGACGGUAUCUUACCAGAAAGGGACGGCUAACUACGUG
This 505-nucleotide ribosomal RNA is filed under the name uncultured bacterium. RNAcentral's name for it is "partial 16S ribosomal RNA". It matches the Rfam family "Bacterial small subunit ribosomal RNA", at positions 28 to 507 of the family's 1533-position model. The record is from RNAcentral.